GAUGAACGCUCGCGGCAGGCCUAACACAUGCAAGUCGAGGGAGAGGUUACCUUCGGGUCACCAAAACCGGCGCACGGGUGCGUAACGCGUAUACAAUCUGCCUUUCACAUAGGGAUAGCCCGAAGAAAUUUGGAUUAAUACCUAAUGGUAUAUAAGAGCGGCAUCGUUUUUAUAUUAAAGCUACGGUGGUGAAAGAUGAGUAUGCGUUCUAUUAGCUAGUUGGAGAGGUAACGGCUCCCCAAGGCGAUGAUAGAUAGGGGUUCUGAGAGGGAUGUCCCCCACACUGGUACUGAGAUACGGACCAGACUCCUACGGGAGGCAGCAGUGAGGAAUAUUGGACAAUGGUCGGAAGACUGAUCCAGCCAUGCCGCGUGCAGGAUGAAGGUCCUAUGGAUUGUAAACUGCUUUUGUAAGGGAAGAAUAAGGAGUACGUGUACUUUGAUGACGGUACCUUACGAAUAAGCAUCGGCUAACUCCGUG
This 480-nucleotide ribosomal RNA is filed under the name uncultured bacterium. Its description in RNAcentral is "partial 16S ribosomal RNA". It matches the Rfam family "Bacterial small subunit ribosomal RNA", at positions 28 to 507 of the family's 1533-position model. The record is from RNAcentral.